AAAACGAAUCUGAUCU
RNAcentral lists this small RNA (16 nucleotides) under Arabidopsis thaliana (thale cress). RNAcentral's name for it is "ATSL247290". The record is from RNAcentral. Lineage: Eukaryota; Viridiplantae; Streptophyta; Magnoliopsida; Brassicales; Brassicaceae.